CCUAGUAACGGCGAGUGAAGCGGCAACAGCUCAAAUUUGAAAUCUGGCUCUUUUAGAGUCCGAGUUGUAAUUUGCAGAGGGCGCUUUGGCUUUGGCAGCGGUCCAAGUUCCUUGGAACAGGACGUCACAGAGGGUGAGAAUCCCGUACGUGGUCGCUGGCUAUUGCCGUGUAAAGCCCCUUCGACGAGUCGAGUUGUUUGGGAAUGCAGCUCUAAAUGGGAGGUACAUUUCUUCUAAAGCUAAAUAUUGGCCAGAGACCGAUAGCGCACAAGUAGAGUGAUCGAAAGAUGAAAAGCACUUUGGAAAGAGAGUCAAACAGCACGUGAAAUUGUUGAAAGGGAAGCGCUUGCAGCCAGACUUGCUUACAGUUGCUCAUCCGGGUUUCUACCCGGUGCACUCUUCUGUAGGCAGGCCAGCAUCAGUUUGGGCGGUAGGAUAAAGGUCUCUGUCACGUACCUCCUUUCGGGGAGGCCUUAUAGGGGAGACGACAUACUACCAGCCUGGACUGAGGUCCGCGCAUCUGCUAGGAUGCUGGCGUAAUGGCUGUAAGCGGCCCGUCUUGAAACACGGACCAAGGAGUCUAACAUCUAUGCGAGUGUUUGGGUGUCAAGCCCGAGCGCGUAAUGAAAGUGAACGGAGGUGGGAACCCGCAAGGGUGCACCAUCGACCGAUCCUGAUGUCUUCGGAAGGAUUUGAGUAAGAGCAUGGCUGUUGGGACCCGAAAGAUGGUGAACUAUGCUUGAAUAGGGUGAAGCCAGAGGAAACUCUGGUGGAGGCUCGCAGCGGUUCUGACGUGCAAAUCGAUCGUCAAAUUUGGGCAUAGGGGCGAAAGACUAAUCGAACU
This 844-nucleotide ribosomal RNA is filed under the name Alternaria alternata. RNAcentral's name for it is "partial large subunit ribosomal RNA". It matches the Rfam family "Eukaryotic large subunit ribosomal RNA", at positions 79 to 941 of the family's 3401-position model. Lineage: Eukaryota; Fungi; Ascomycota; Dothideomycetes; Pleosporales; Pleosporaceae. The record is from RNAcentral.